AGAGUUUGAUCCUGGCUCAGGAUGAACGCUAGCGACAGGCUUAACACAUGCAAGUCGAGGGGCAGCAUAAAAGUAGCAAUACUUUGGUGGCGACCGGCGCACGGGUGAGUAACGCGUAUGCAACCUACCUAUCAGAGGGGAAUAACCCGGCGAAAGUCGGACUAAUACCGCAUAAAACAGGGACACCGCAUGGUGAUAUUUGUUAAAGAAAUUCGCUGAUAGAUGGGCAUGCGUUCCAUUAGGUAGUUGGUGAGGUAACGGCUCACCAAGCCGACGAUGGAUAGGGGAACUGAGAGGUUGGUCCCCCACACUGGUACUGAGACACGGACCAGACUCCUACGGGAGGCAGCAGUGAGGAAUAUUGGUCAAUGGGCGAGAGCCUGAACCAGCCAAGUCGCGUGAAGGAAGAAGGAUCUAUGGUUCGUAAACUUCUUUUGCAGGGGAAUAAAGUGCAGGACGUGUCCUGUUUUGUAUGUACCCUGAGAAUAAGGAUCGGCUAACUCCGUGCCAGCAGCCGCGGUAAUA
This 525-nucleotide ribosomal RNA is filed under the name uncultured bacterium. RNAcentral's name for it is "bacterial SSU rRNA". It matches the Rfam family "Bacterial small subunit ribosomal RNA", at positions 8 to 525 of the family's 1533-position model. The record is from RNAcentral.